UGAUGUAGCUCAGCCGGCAGAGCAGCUGAUUUGUAAUCAGCAGGUCGGGGGUUCGAUUCCCUCCAUCA
RNAcentral lists this transfer RNA (68 nucleotides) under bovine gut metagenome. It matches the Rfam family "tRNA". From Rfam's summary of the family: Transfer RNA (tRNA) molecules are approximately 80 nucleotides in length. Their secondary structure includes four short double-helical elements and three loops (D, anti-codon, and T loops). The record is from RNAcentral.